This 407-nucleotide ribosomal RNA is filed under the name uncultured bacterium. Its description in RNAcentral is "partial 16S ribosomal RNA". It matches the Rfam family "Bacterial small subunit ribosomal RNA", at positions 30 to 526 of the family's 1533-position model. The record is from RNAcentral.
AUUGAACGCUGGCGGCAGGCCUAACACAUGCAAGUCGAACGGAGUGGCAGACGGGUGAGUAAUGUCUGGGAAACUGCCUGAUGGCGAGGGAUAAAUACUGGAAACGGUAGCUAAUACCGCAUCCUAUCAGAUGAGCCUAUGUCGGAUUAGCUAUUUGGGGGGGUAAAGGCCUACCAAGGCGACGAUCCGUAACUGGUCUGAGAGGAUGAUUAGUCAAACUGGAACGGAGACAAGGUCCAUACUCCUACGGGAGGCAGCAGGGGGGAAGAGUGGACAAUGGGCGAAAGCCUGAUCCAGCCAUGCCGCGGGUGUGAAGAAGGUCUUCGGAUUGUAAAGCACUUUAAGUUGGGAGGCGUUACCAACAGAAUAAGCACCGGCGAACUUCGUGCCAGCAGCCGCGGUAAUUC